GGAGAUUUGGCUGUGUCAUGCUAGUAGCUGCUUAUGUAGUCUCGAGCCUCUAGCCUGCAGCAGAGAUGAGGAGCAGGCUACAGAGGUCUGUUCACAGGAUCCGGGGCCUUUCUUUCUGCCUCUAAGAUCUUUUUCUGGCUCCAUCUCUGAAAGACCAGUCCAGGGAACCUCCUGGCACCACACUCACUUUACACAUGGUGCGGGACCAUUUCUUGGCUGGAUGCACUGACUACCCAGAGAAUAAUUAACCACAGCAUGCUGAGGACACACAUCACUUGCAGAUAGACCAGAGGCCGUUUCAGACUCAAAGCUGAUUCAAGAUGCCCCACCAUCCCCUUGAUGUCAGGACAUGAGAGCGUCAGGGGGUUACUCUGCCUCACUUACUCACAUGCACGUUGACCCACAUUACCCAACAGUGUGCUACCGCUCCUGUGUAUAUUAAUAACCACGUGCACAUCCUACCCUCUGUGCUCAGACCAGGAAAAGGCUUCAUGUUUCAGCUCAUUAUGUGAAACCUAUGGACUAAUGCUAUUCUACCUUUUUGUUAUUGCUAAUUCCAUGAAAGCCAAAGCCUGAUAUAUCUUAUUCUUCCAUGCCAUAUAGCUCCAUUGUUGUCCAGAAAACAAUUUAAAACACAUCAGUGAGCCACACUGUAGCACUGGGUGCCAUGUUCUUUCAGUACCACGAACAAACACGCAUACAAUGUAGUUUAUUCUGACUUAAUCCCUACAUAUCUCAUCCUACUGCCUCAAAUAAAUGUGCAAAUAAGCAACUGUUUGCUAACAACUUUGCCCUAUUAACUUAAAAGCUGAGUGUACACAGUACUUGAUUAAAAAACUAUUUUGUCAUUUA
Molecule: long non-coding RNA, 852 nt
Organism: Micropterus dolomieu (smallmouth bass)
Lineage: Eukaryota; Metazoa; Chordata; Actinopteri; Centrarchiformes; Centrarchidae
Exons: 4
Source: RefSeq, a predicted model, not a curated record